This is a long non-coding RNA of Clupea harengus (Atlantic herring), 1478 nucleotides long. The record is from Ensembl. Lineage: Eukaryota; Metazoa; Chordata; Actinopteri; Clupeiformes; Clupeidae.
ACACACACACACACACACACACACAGACACACACACAAACUUAAUUCUGUGGUCCAGACCGCUUUCCCCGUUGUGUAACUUAAAAUGUUCGAUGGAGGAGGAUAAACAGUCCCGUCUUGUUCUUUUUGUAGAUGAUGUGUGGGGUAACCAUCUGGCCAAGACCAUUUAACACACACACACACACACACAUCAUCUGGCCAAGACCAUGUUACCACCCUAUGAGCUGUGCUGAACCAGUCAUGUGCCGAACGACCAUUGCAAGUGAGGACUGUUCUGGCAUGAGUCAACGUCCACUGGUUGCCAGGGCAAUGAUGUCUUGACAGGAUGAGACUAUCUUUCUGCUGUCCUCUACACUUACUUCGACACGUUCAUCUGAUGGUAGUGAUGAGAUUCCAGAUGCCCAAGCAAUAAAGUUGAAAAGUUGUGGGGGCACUACGCGUAGGGCAGGUGUGUGUUGUGGGGGCACUAUGCCAAGGGCAGGUGUGUGUUGUGGGGGCACUAUGCCAAGGGCAGGUGUGUGUUGUGGGGGCACUAUGCCAAGGGCAGGUGUGUGUUGGGGUGGCACUACGCGUAGGGCAUUCUCCAGUGUCAGGUCUCUUGCUGGGAGCGUUGGGGUCUUUUUUGCUGUCUCUUGGAUAAUGCCGUUCAGUGUGAGGGCUGCAUGAUAUAAUAGUCUAGAAUCAUUCAUAGUGGCACUUUCACUUUCAAGACGUCCUGUAGUUGUCAUCUCUCCCCUACUGUCUUCAGACGGUGACGACGAGGAGGAAGAAGAGGCGGCGGCUUCAUGGACGAUCUCCUCAGCUGACAGGUCCACGUACACAAGAUAGGUUUCAGAUGAUUUGUGGAACUUUAAGGCAGGAUAGGACUUGCGGAGUCGGACCUUUAAUAUGUGAGGCUUAUAGUCAUUGAUGUCGACUCCGUCCGUUUCUCUUACAAUCUCUUGAAAAAGGAAGUUCAGCCUCGACAGGCGGAGCACCUCCCUCCUCCUCAUGAGCCUCUCCUCGACGACGCUCUCGCAGAACUGCUUGUAACCUUUUUCAUACAAGCUGAGGUCUGUUUUUCCAGUUUUGAUAGACACAUAGCGGGAGGCACACACAUACCGGGUGUAAUCCCUGAAGCAGGUGUGGUGGUACCGCACCUCCCAGGCAGCCAAGUCGAGGUCUUGGAUCCGUCGAAGGAGAGGCUCGUCCUUUCUUCCUUGAGCGGCGGCGAGCAGAUGAUUCCCAGCGUUUAGCGUCUCGCACCGACUGAGACUCUCCUUCCGCCUCUUUCCGGUGUUUUUCUCUAGUGUGUAUUUGUGGCCUCUGCAAAUGAGGCAGUGGUCAGGCAGCAGACGUGGCGCUCGCCCGGAUCCGUCGUCAUGGCGCCCUACUUCUCGCCCGGAUCCGUCGUCAUGGCUGGUUUGUGAGUGUAGAGCUGGUGUUUGUGCUGGAGUCUCCUGACUAUCUUCUGUGUUUGGCCCGACCUCUCACCCUUAA